GUCGAACGGUAACGCGGUGAGAAGCUUGCUUCUCACCGGCGACGAGUGGCGAACGGGUGAGUAAUACAUCGGAACGUGUCCGCUCGUGGGGGACAACCAGCCGGAAGGUUGGCUAAUACCGCAUGAGUUCUACGGAAGAAAGAGGGGGACCCGCAAGGGCCUCUCGCGAGCGGAGCGGCCGAUGACUGAUUAGCCGGUUGGUGAGGUAACGGCUCACCAAAGCAACGAUCAGUAGCUGGUCUGAGAGGACGACCAGCCACACUGGGACUGAGACACGGCCCAGACUCCUACGGGAGGCAGCAGUGGGGAAUUUUGGACAAUGGGCGCAAGCCUGAUCCAGCUAUUCCGCGUGUGGGAUGAAGGCCCUCGGGUUGUAAACCACUUUUGUAGAGAACGAAAAGACACCUUCGAAUAAAGGGUGUUGCUGACGGUACUCUAAGAAUAAGCACCGGCUAACUACGUGCCAGCAGCCGCGGUAAUACGUAGGGUGCGAGCGUUAAUCGGAAUUACUGGGCGUAAAGGGUGCGCAGGCGGUUGAGUAAGACAGAUGUGAAAUCCCCGAGCUUAACUCGGGAAUGGCAUAUGUGACUGCUCGACUAGAGUGUGUCAGAGGGAGGUGGAAUUCCACGUGUAGCAGUGAAAUGCGUAGAUAUGUGGAAGAACACCGAUGGCGAAGGCAGCCUCCUGGGACAUA
This 694-nucleotide ribosomal RNA is filed under the name uncultured bacterium. RNAcentral's name for it is "bacterial SSU rRNA". It matches the Rfam family "Bacterial small subunit ribosomal RNA", at positions 61 to 738 of the family's 1533-position model. The record is from RNAcentral.